GGUUAAGCGACUAAGCGUACACGGUGGAUGCCCUGGCAGUCAGAGGCGAUGAAGGACGUGCUAAUCUGCGAUAAGCGUCGGUAAGGUGAUAUGAACCGUUAUAACCGGCGAUUUCCGAAUGGGGAAACCCAGUGUGUUUCGACACACUAUCAUUAACUGAAUCCAUAGGUUAAUGAGGCGAACCGGGGGAACUGAAACAUCUAAGUACCCCGAGGAAAAGAAAUCAACCGAGAUUCCCCCAGUAGCGGCGAGCGAACGGGGAGCAGCCCAGAGCCUGAAUCAGUGUGUGUGUUAGUGGAAGCGUCUGGAAAGGCGCGCGAUACAGGGUGACAGCCCCGUACACAAAAAUGCACAUGCUGUGAGCUCGAUGAGUAGGGCGGGACACGUGGUAUCCUGUCUGAAUAUGGGGGGACCAUCCUCCAAGGCUAAAUACUCCUGACUGACCGAUAGUGAACCAGUACCGUGAGGGAAAGGCGAAAAGAACCCCGGCGAGGGGAGUGAAAAAGAACCUGAAACCGUGUACGUACAAGCAGUGGGAGCACGCUUAGGCGUGUGACUGCGUACCUUUUGUAUAAUGGGUCAGCGACUUAUAUUCUGUAGCAAGGUUAACCGAAUAGGGGAGCCGAAGGGAAACCGAGUCUUAACUGGGCGUUAAGUUGCAGGGUAUAGACCCGAAACCCGGUGAUCUAGCCAUGGGCAGGUUGAAGGUUGGGUAACACUAACUGGAGGACCGAACCGACUAAUGUUGAAAAAUUAGCGGAUGACUUGUGGCUGGGGGUGAAAGGCCAAUCAAACCGGGAGAUAGCUGGUUCUCCCCGAAAGCUAUUUAGGUAGCGCCUCGUGAAUUCAUCUCCGGGGGUAGAGCACUGUUUCGGCAAGGGGGUCAUCCCGACUUACCAACCCGAUGCAAACUGCGAAUACCGGAGAAUGUUAUCACGGGAGACACACGGCGGGUGCUAACGUCCGUCGUGAAGAGGGAAACAACCCAGACCGCCAGCUAAGGUCCCAAAGUCAUGGUUAAGUGGGAAACGAUGUGGGAAGGCCCAGACAGCCAGGAUGUUGGCUUAGAAGCAGCCAUCAUUUAAAGAAAGCGUAAUAGCUCACUGGUCGAGUCGGCCUGCGCGGAAGAUGUAACGGGGCUAAACCAUGCACCGAAGCUGCGGCAGCGACGCUGAUGCGUUGUUGGGUAGGGGAGCGUUCUGUAAGCCUGCGAAGGUGUGCUGUGAGGCAUGCUGGAGGUAUCAGAAGUGCGAAUGCUGACAUAAGUAACGAUAAAGCGGGUGAAAAGCCCGCUCGCCGGAAGACCAAGGGUUCCUGUCCAACGUUAAUCGGGGCAGGGUGAGUCGACCCCUAAGGCGAGGCCGAAAGGCGUAGUCGAUGGGAAACAGGUUAAUAUUCCUGUACUUGGUGUUACUGCGAAGGGGGGACGGAGAAGGCUAUGUUGGCCGGGCGACGGUUGUCCCGGUUUAAGCGUGUAGGCUGGUUUUCCAGGCAAAUCCGGAAAAUCAAGGCUGAGGCGUGAUGACGAGGCACUACGGUGCUGAAGCAACAAAUGCCCUGCUUCCAGGAAAAGCCUCUAAGCAUCAGGUAACAUCAAAUCGUACCCCAAACCGACACAGGUGGUCAGGUAGAGAAUACCAAGGCGCUUGAGAGAACUCGGGUGAAGGAACUAGGCAAAAUGGUGCCGUAACUUCGGGAGAAGGCACGCUGAUAUGUAGGUGAAGUCCCUCGCGGAUGGAGCUGAAAUCAGUCGAAGAUACCAGCUGGCUGCAACUGUUUAUUAAAAACACAGCACUGUGCAAACACGAAAGUGGACGUAUACGGUGUGACGCCUGCCCGGUGCCGGAAGGUUAAUUGAUGGGGUCAGCGCAAGCGAAGCUCUUGAUCGAAGCCCCGGUAAACGGCGGCCGUAACUAUAACGGUCCUAAGGUAGCGAAAUUCCUUGUCGGGUAAGUUCCGACCUGCACGAAUGGCGUAAUGAUGGCCAGGCUGUCUCCACCCGAGACUCAGUGAAAUUGAACUCGCUGUGAAGAUGCAGUGUACCCGCGGCAAGACGGAAAGACCCCGUGAACCUUUACUAUAGCUUGACACUGAACAUUGAGCCUUGAUGUGUAGGAUAGGUGGGAGGCUUUGAAGUGUGGACGCCAGUCUGCAUGGAGCCGACCUUGAAAUACCACCCUUUAAUGUUUGAUGUUCUAACGUGGACCCGUGAUCCGGGUUGCGGACAGUGUCUGGUGGGUAGUUUGACUGGGGCGGUCUCCUCCUAAAGAGUAACGGAGGAGCACGAAGGUUGGCUAAUCCUGGUCGGACAUCAGGAGGUUAGUGCAAUGGCAUAAGCCAGCUUGACUGCGAGCGUGACGGCGCGAGCAGGUGCGAAAGCAGGUCAUAGUGAUCCGGUGGUUCUGAAUGGAAGGGCCAUCGCUCAACGGAUAAAAGGUACUCCGGGGAUAACAGGCUGAUACCGCCCAAGAGUUCAUAUCGACGGCGGUGUUUGGCACCUCGAUGUCGGCUCAUCACAUCCUGGGGCUGAAGUAGGUCCCAAGGGUAUGGCUGUUCGCCAUUUAAAGUGGUACGCGAGCUGGGUUUAGAACGUCGUGAGACAGUUCGGUCCCUAUCUGCCGUGGGCGCUGGAGAACUGAGGGGGGCUGCUCCUAGUACGAGAGGACCGGAGUGGACGCAUCACUGGUGUUCGGGUUGUCAUGCCAAUGGCACUGCCCGGUAGCUAAAUGCGGAAGAGAUAAGUGCUGAAAGCAUCUAAGCACGAAACUUGCCCCGAGAUGAGUUCUCCCUGACCCUUUAAGGGUCCUGAAGGAACGUUGAAGACGACGACGUUGAUAGGCCGGGUGUGUAAGCGCAGCGAUGCGUUGAGCUAACCGGUACUAAUGAACCGUGAGGCUUAACCUU
RNAcentral lists this ribosomal RNA (2904 nucleotides) under Escherichia coli. RNAcentral describes it as "23S ribosomal RNA". It matches the Rfam family "Bacterial large subunit ribosomal RNA". Lineage: Bacteria; Pseudomonadati; Pseudomonadota; Gammaproteobacteria; Enterobacterales; Enterobacteriaceae. The record is from RNAcentral.